This 381-nucleotide unclassified non-coding RNA is filed under the name uncultured Hydrogenedentota bacterium. RNAcentral's name for it is "uncultured Hydrogenedentes bacterium contains 16S-23S intergenic spacer region". The record is from RNAcentral. Lineage: Bacteria; Pseudomonadati; Candidatus Hydrogenedentota.
UCCUGCUUAUCACAGGCAGUCUGCCUAGAGUGCCCGGCCGAACCGAUGGUAACUAGACACGGGGGUUGCGCUCGUUGCGGGACUUAACCCAACAUCUCACGACACGAGCUGACGACAGCCAUGCAACACCUGUGUGCGGGUUCCCCGAAGGGCACCAACUGGUUUCCCAGAAGUUCCCGCCAUGUCAAGCCUGGGUAAGGUUCUUCGCGUUGCAUCGAAUUAAACCACAUGCUCCACCGCUUGUGCGGGCCCCCGUCAAUUCCUUUGAGUUUCACCCUUGCGAGCGUACUCCCCAGGCGGUGCACUUAAUGCGUUAGCUGCGGCACGGAAGGGGUCGAUAUCCUCCCACACCUAGUGCACAACGUUUACGGCGUGGACUAC